UUAAAUGUCAGCUCUUCUCAUCAUUGUGAAGUAGAAUUCACCAAGAGAUGGAUUGUUCACCGACUCGCAGGGAAUGCGAGCUGGGCUUAGACCGUCGUGACACGGGCU
This 108-nucleotide non-coding RNA is filed under the name Lepisosteus oculatus (spotted gar). RNAcentral's name for it is "Eukaryotic large subunit ribosomal RNA". It matches the Rfam family "Eukaryotic large subunit ribosomal RNA", at positions 2877 to 2984 of the family's 3401-position model. The record is from Rfam by way of RNAcentral. Lineage: Eukaryota; Metazoa; Chordata; Actinopteri; Semionotiformes; Lepisosteidae.